GUUAAGACCAAUAUUUUUCUCCAUAUAUAAUUCAAUCACUUAAAAAACACGCUUAUCUAACAGCAAGAAUGUAGUUUCUUAGGCUUUUGAUGCAUCUUAGAUAAGGAAAAUAAGCUCGAAAAUUAAAUUUGAAGAAUACAAGUCUGAACACAAAAAAAAAAAAAAAACUUGCUUUUAAUCACACGUAGCCAGUGAUAUCUCUUAAAAAACUCUUCAAUCAUGGUUGGCUAUAUUCCUCGCCAAAUUUACUUGUUUCUGCACCAUUAUUUGCGUGUUAACUUAACAUUAGCCUUUUGAUGCUCCACCAAAUUCUUCUAAGAGACGCUCGAUGGUCUUUCUUGAUGUGAUCUUGUCAAUCUCAAAUACCUUCAUGUCAUCUUUGAGACCUGGGUUAUGGAGAACUUUGAGUGGUAAGUGUGAGGCAUUUGAAUUUAAGAACAUGAGUAGAUUCUUCAUAAGCUCCACAGAUUCAGCAGUGACCAAUAUCUCUCUCUUGAAGUUCUUCUGUGAAUCAUAAUACCCAGAUACAAUCAUGAGUAGCUGAAGUUUCUCCAACUGCUGGAAAUAUUUGAUUUCUUCAGUUGAAGUAGCGUCAUGAGCAAGAAGUUGCUCAAUUGAUAUGCCAAUAGAACUCAUCCCAAUAUAUGACAUCACUGAUCUUGAACCAACACUAUCUAGCUUGCCUACUCUUGUCCACUUCUUAAAAUCCUUCCGCAAUAUGUCAACUACUGUGAGAUCAGAGACAUCACACAUUUUGUAUCUCAAUAGUUGGUAAAGACCAUUGCAUCCAAAGCGACCAGCACCAUUGACCAACAAUGUAGCCAUGUAUUUGUCUUUAGUUGUACAAUGUGGACCAGUGAGGUUUCCAGUAUCCAAGAGGAUGCCUGCCAACAAAAGUCUACUGAAUCCUUGUGCAGCCAAAAUCUCCGGAGAAGUCAGAGCAAACUUUUCUGCAAUGAGGGUGCAGCAAGAGUCCUGCCCCAAAGUAGCAUUCUCAACCCCAGGAUACACAGAUUCACCCUUUCUGCAAUUGAAAAUUUCAACUACUGCUCCCUUUAAUGCCUCUUGUUUGGCUGGGAGCUUGUGCCCAUUUAGCAGAACCAGCCUAAGACUCCCAAACAGAUCAUAAUAUGACAGGUCAAUCUCAUCUACAAAAAUUAGAGAUGACUCAUCAAUUUGGCAUGAAUCCAGCAACCAUUUCAGUUCAGAAUGAGAGCUUAGGUCUGCCCUUUUCAUAUUGAUAACAGGUACAGUGCAUAACUGGUCACUUUCAAGAGUUUCAUUCAAAUAGAAGGCAUACAUGAUGGUUGAAGCUAUGGAUCCAACAUCAGAGACAUAUUGCCCAAUGACAGCAUGCAAGAAUCUUCCAGGAACACCAGCACUUACAUCAUCUCUUCUGGCUUUCAAGUACAAAUUCAGCCUAUUAAUGCUUUCAGAUGAUUCCACAAUUUCAACUAGGGGGGACAACACAUUAUAAAAGAAUGCCGCAGACUGAGGAAGUGGUAUCAUUAACAGGUUUUGUUUCCUUUGGUUCAGGCUAUAGGAUUUUUCUAUUAUAGGUCUCGAUAGUGUAGAUAAAAUAUGACACUCUUCAGUUGCUUCAGAGGCUUUUGGGCUAUAUUCUUCCAUUGACUUACAUGUAUCACCUAACUCUAACCUCAAAUCAGCUUGAAUAUUUGGGAAUCCGAAUGAAGUUGCUUUAGCAAUCUUUGACAACCUCCCAAAUGUAGACUGCCCUAUGGGAUUCAGAACAACAUCUGAGAAUGAGUCAUCCAUCGAUUCCAUGGACUUAUCAGAUAUAUCUUGAACAAAACUUUUACUUCUUGAAUCACUAAUAUCAGAUGUGGUCCGAGAAAUAUUCCGGCUUUCAUCGUUUCCUUGAAAGCCCAAGGUAGAACUCUGAUCCCUUGAGGCAUUAUCAUCUCUUAAUAGACCAUCAAAGUAUGGAUUCUCUCUGGUACGGAUAUAUGGUUCCUGAAGGGGGAUUCCUCUGGGAGACCUCAUCAUGUUGUUCUAGUUGGAGUUGGAUGG
This 2031-nucleotide unclassified non-coding RNA is filed under the name Hevea brasiliensis (rubber tree). The record is from RNAcentral. Lineage: Eukaryota; Viridiplantae; Streptophyta; Magnoliopsida; Malpighiales; Euphorbiaceae.